GUCGCAUUAGUGUCUAGCGGUUAGCAUGACAGCCUUCCAAGCUGUAGGGGAGGGUUCGAAUCCCUUAUGCGACUCCA
Molecule: transfer RNA, 77 nt
Filed under: Caudoviricetes sp.
Lineage: Duplodnaviria; Heunggongvirae; Uroviricota; Caudoviricetes
Description: tRNA-Gly
Rfam family: tRNA
About the family: Transfer RNA (tRNA) molecules are approximately 80 nucleotides in length. Their secondary structure includes four short double-helical elements and three loops (D, anti-codon, and T loops).
Source: RNAcentral